CUGGCGCAGGACGGGAGCAGCCUGGAGGCGCUGCUCAGGACGGAUCCCCUGGACAAGCGCUCCCUGCCCGACGCGCGCGGGGACGACGAGAGCCUGGGCGAGUUCCCGGUCACCAACAGCCGCGCCCGCAAGGUGGCGCCGGGAGCCCGCGGGAAUUCGGGAUAACAGGAAUUCCGGCGGGAAUUCGGGGAUUCCAGUGGGAAUUUGGGAAUGACAACGGGAAUUCAGGAUAUUGGGAAUUCCAACGGGAAUUUGGGGUGUUGGGAAUUCCAGUGGGAAUUUGGGAAUGACAACGGGAAUUUGGGAUAUUGGGAAUUCCAGAUGGGAAUUCGGGAUAUUGGGAAUUCCAGUGGGAACUCAGGAUCCUGGGAAUUCCAGCCAGGAAUUCCAGCUGGGAACUCGGGACACUGGGAGUUCCAAUGGGAAUUGGGAAUUUGGGAUACCGAGGGCUCCAGGAAUUGGGGAUACUGGGAAUUCCAGCUGUGGCCCCUUCUACAUCCCCUCCUGUUUUUCCAUUUUUCAUUUUCCCCAUUUUUUCCCCAUUUUUCCAUUUUUUCCCAAUUUUUCCCAUUUUUUCCCCAUUUUUCCCAUUUUUUCCCCAUUUUUGCCAUUUUUUUUCCCAUUUUUGCCAUUUUUUUCCCCAUUUUCCCCCAUUUCCCCGCUCUAACCCCCGUGCUCGCUCCCAGCGGAUCCUGGAGCCCGAGGAUUUCCUGGACGAUCUGGACGAUGAGGAUUACGAGGAGGACACGCCCAAGCGGAGAGGGAAGGGCAAGGCCAAGGGCAAAGGCGUCGGGGGUGCCCGGAAGAAGCUGGAGGCCGCGAUCCUGGAGGACCGGGACAAACCCUACGCCUGCGACAUCUGCGGGAAGCGCUACAAGAACCGGCCCGGGCUCAGCUACCACUACGCGCACUCGCACCUGGCCGAGGAGGAGGGCGACGACAAGGACGACUCGCAGCCGCCCACGCCCGUGGCGCCGCGCCCCGAGGAGCAGAAAUCCAAGAAGGGCCCGGACGGGCUGGCCCUUCCCAACAAUUACUGCGAUUUCUGCCUGGGCGACUCCAAGAUCAACAAGAAGACGGGACAGCCCGAGGAGCUCGUGUCGUGCUCCGACUGCGGCCGCUCCGGUCAGGCCCGGGCCGGGGGGCACCUCUGGGGUCUGGGGUCCCAGGGUUCCUUCUAAAAUGGGGCUGGGGGCACAUUUGGGGGCUGGGGUCCCAGGGUUCCCUCUAAAAUGGGGCUGGGGGAGUUUGGGGUCAGAGAUCCGAGGGUUUCC
Molecule: long non-coding RNA, 1274 nt
Filed under: Junco hyemalis (dark-eyed junco)
Lineage: Eukaryota; Metazoa; Chordata; Aves; Passeriformes; Passerellidae
Description: lncRNA (ENSJHYG00000010818.1)
Source: RNAcentral